UCUAGUUUAAACAAUAAAGAACAAAUAAGCCCAAGAAAGUGACUUGGCUGGGAGGUCCAUGCUAGCUGCCUUAACCCUCUACGGGAGCUUUAGGACCUACUAUUCAUUGGUGAGGACAGAUGGUUCACCUCCACGAACGACAUGCAGGUGUGUCCCCGGGGCAGACUCCAUCUCUGAUGACAGAAAGAGCCAAGCAUCCCGCGUAUGGAUAAAGCAGGCCAGGAAGCCAGUUGCCAGCCUGACCCAGAGGCGGUACUGGAAGGGCCCCGACGCCCCCGAUGACCCAAUCCUCCCAGGCCACCGGGCUAAUUAUAAGAAAGCCUAGCAGAGAGUCCGUUGCAAAAGCGGUUCGAGAGUCAACGAAAGCUCUGUUGUCCUAUUCUACCUUAAUGCUUCAGUAUGUACUUCCUAAAGACAAGAACCCUCUCCUCCAUAAUCACCAUACAACCAUGAAAAUCAGGAAAGUGUUCAAUGCUACCGUGCAAUCCAUACAGAUUUUGCUGAUAGCCCCUAUAGUGUUCCUUUCAAGGUCUCGGAUCCAGUCAACGAUCGUGCAUUGGAUUUCCUUGCCCUAUCUCUUUAGUCGCUUGACCUGGGCCAGUUCCUCAGGCUUUUCCUUCUCUUUCAUGAACUUGUACGUCUGCUGCGUCCAAACCCUUUACUCCGGAGAAGACCUCGUGUUUUGGGUUUUAUCUCGUGAUUAGAUUCAGAUUUUGCAUCUUUGGCCGCAGCGUCUCAGAAAUGACACCGUGUUCGUGUCAGCGCAUCAUUCAGGUGGCACAUUAUUCCCGGCGAUGCUGGUUUUACCACUUGGCUAACGUCGUUCCUUCCAGGCUUCUCCACCGUGAAGUUAACAAAUAUGUUUUAAGUACUUAACGUGGAUUUGGGGGGAGUCUACUUUGAGAUUAGGUAAAUACCCUGUUUCUUGUCAAAGUUUUGGCCACUAGUUUUAGCUUUCGUUGAAUGCUCGCUGUUGUUAGAAAUUAAUUUAUCGGAACACAGCCAGGCCGAUUCUUUUACGUAAUUUGUGUGGCCGCAUCUUUGCCACAAAAACAGAUGUGCAUAUCUCUUGCAGAGACGAAAUAUCGCCACAAAGCCUAAAUUAUUUACUCUAUGACUUUUUUACAGAAAAGCUUGCUGCCCUUCGCUCUUUUGAGCCUGGUAAUCUGUAUUUUAACAAGUGCCUAGAUACUUAAAAACCUUGCGGCAGUGUAUUUUGUUCUCUGUGUUGUUGCAGUCUGUGUUGAAUUACUUAUAAUAUCUUUUCAGCUCAUCACUUUAUGUGCCCUUUCACAUCUUCUUUUGUCAGAUUUACACCUUCUUUUUACAAGAUUUGCCAAAGCAGAUGAUCGGAUUAACGUAUCUUUGAAACACCACUGUAUGAACUGUACACAGAGCGGUAUGCUCACGUGGAUUUUCAGUUCUCUCUUUGAUAUCAUGGUUUGUUGAAAAACUUCACGACUUUGAGAAGGAACCGUAAUGAUCUCCCUUCGUAGUACAGGGUUUACUCUGUAACAGAUCCCCGAUACCCAGUCAUCGAGCGUGUGCGCCCUCACCGGAACACCUGAUUCGUAGUGUAGUGUAGCUCUGUAUGCGGCUGGUAUUUGUCUUGGGAUCCGUGACUUCCAUUUGCUGGUUAAGAUCCGAAGCUAAUCCGCGAGGUGCCGGGCCACGAUGCGGUCCCGCUCCCCGCGGCCCCGUCUCUGAAAGCAUGUGACAAGGGCAUCAUGUUACAUUUCCACUUCAGGGCACAAUUCACUCACCUUAGAUCCCUUCUGGAGAAGACAGGAUGAGAUUCGUUUGAGUAUUACUAAUUCCUUCUGUUUCGAGUACUUGAACAAAAGUUCCUUGCCUCGGUGAGUGCUUCUUCCUUCCCACUGUUACCAGCCGUGCUUUGACUUUUCCAGAUAGAAGGAGAUAGGAACAGGAAAAAGAUGCAUUGUUGGCUGGGGGAGGGUAAUCAAGCAAGGCAAAGUAGCAAAAAGGAAACAGACAAACAGCAGCAUGGGCAGACCUGGUUUUCAACCCCAAAUUUGCCAGUCACUUGGAAUGCUAAGAAAUUUGCGUGACUCUGUCUGAGACCCAGUUCCCUAAUCAGUAGAACAGGAAUAAUAG
This is a long non-coding RNA of Neofelis nebulosa (Clouded leopard), 2115 nucleotides long. RefSeq lists it as uncharacterized. The transcript has 3 exons. NCBI's taxonomy places the organism in Eukaryota, Metazoa, Chordata, Mammalia, Carnivora, Felidae. The record is from RefSeq and is a predicted model, not a curated record.